RNAcentral lists this long non-coding RNA (1517 nucleotides) under Mustela putorius furo (domestic ferret). Its description in RNAcentral is "lncRNA (ENSMPUG00000031475.1)". The record is from RNAcentral. Lineage: Eukaryota; Metazoa; Chordata; Mammalia; Carnivora; Mustelidae.
UGCACAAUUGGGGUUAAAACGAGGGUCAAUCCACCCCACUCUCCAAACGCCUCUCCUCUUGCUGCCAAACCCAGGAUCCGAGGCUGAGUGCGGUUUGUAAGAUUAUAGCGCUCGGUCUCAUUUAAAGGGCUGUCAGCAUUUCCAUUCUCCGGCCCGUUUGGGGAGGCAUUUAUAACCAAGCCAUAAAAAAUUCACCCCGGCUGCAACUUGGCAUCUGGGAGGCUGCGCUCCAGGCAGGGCGGGUUUUGCAAGCACCCACUCUCAAUUCGCUUGGUUCCUCAGAAGUUAGACCUUUAUACACAUUCUCAACUUCGCUUCUAAGGGCAGCCGGAAAGUGACUGGCCCUUUCUGAUCUUCAGGCAGGUCGGAGUCUCGGCCCUCUCCCGUCUCCGUGCCCUUACGACCCAUCACCUUUCGGGCUUUCUCCUUCGCCCACCUCCUAAACGUGCGCGGAUCCCUUGCCCUCGUCCUAAGACCUCACUGGCUGCAGUGUUCUUUCCUCCCCUCGCUUCCUGCCAGCGUUCUGCUGGAAGCUGUCACCCGGCCCUGCGUCUGGAACCUUCACCCCUGGAGAAGCACUGCUCUUUGCCCAUCGCAGUGGGCUUCAAGACCUCUCUCCCUAGACCUGACCAAGGCCACAGACCCCAACUCAGGGGAUAAAGGAUCCGACCCGGGAGAGGUGACAAGAGACUGCAUCCAGUGUGGCCAAGGGGAGAGGAAAGAUCUGGUGCCUGGGGGCCCCACUAUGGACCCAGGAGGAGUCAAGAUGGCGGAGAAGUAGCAGGCUGAGAUGACAUCAGGUAGCAAGAGAUCAGCUAGAUAUUCUAUCAAACCGUUCUGAACACUGGCAAAUCCAACAGGAGAUCAAAGAGAAGAAGAUCAGCAAUUCUAGAAACAGAAAAUCCACCACUUUCUGAAAGGUAGGACAGGUGGAGAAGUGAAUCCAAAGCAAUGGGGAAGAUAGACUGCGGGGGGGUGGGGAUGGGGCUGGCUCCUGGCAAGUGGAUUUAAAUUAUACCUCAAUAAAGCUGCUAAAAAGUUAAUUGUUUAAAGUAAAAUGACAACAGUUUACCCCUGAGUUUAUAAUAUAUGCAAAAGUAGAGGAUAUGAAAAUAAUAGCACAAAGGAAAGGAGAAGGUAAUGGGAGUAUACUGUGUAAGGUUAUUAUAGUAUAGGAAAAGUGGUAUAAUAUUAUUAGAGAGUAGAAGAUAAACUAUGAAAAUUUAAAAUAUGUGUUAUAAACAAUAUUUUAAAGAAAUCAUAAAAAAAGACAUAUAACUAAAUGCCAGUAGAAGAAAUAAAAUGAAGUGAUAAAAAUUUCUCACUAAAAUAAGAAAAUAGGAAAAAAGGCAAGAAAGAGCAGAUAGAACAAUAUUAAACAAAUAGCAAGAUGGUAGACUCAAACCCGUAUGGCCAUAAUAACGUUAGAUAUAAAUGGUUUAAACAAUCCAAUUUAAAGCCAGAGAUUUGGGGCACCUGGGUGGCUUAGUUUAUUAAAUGUCUGCCUUCAGCUUGGG